Molecule: ribosomal RNA, 2368 nt
Filed under: Triticum aestivum (bread wheat)
Lineage: Eukaryota; Viridiplantae; Streptophyta; Magnoliopsida; Poales; Poaceae
Description: partial small subunit ribosomal RNA
Source: RNAcentral
UGGAAAAUAAAAACGAGAAAGCCGAAGUAUGAAGUUAGGGCCUGACUUGAAGUCACGGCAUUGACGUGGACGUCAACCCGGUUACUGUACACCCGGAUUGUCUGCCGACCGGGUGUACGGUAACUGGGUUGACGUCCACGUCAAUGCCGUGGGUUCGUCGCAGGAAGUUAGGGUAUAAGGGGUACAUCUCAUCGUCGAUAUAGGUAAUCGGGGAGGAGAGGGGAGGAAGGUGGUCGAGCCACAAACGAGAGAGCGUUGAAGCGAGUUGAAGGUCACCGUUAUCGUCUCCGUCGCCCGUCGGGCGCUAGCUAGGAACGACCCAGGCGCCCACCCUAGCUCCUACAGCCUAGUCUACCUAAGGCCGUAUUUCGAGAAGCCCGCCCACUAGGGCAACCAAGGACUGCGACGCGGGCCCGGCGGCCUUCGCCUCCGCUGCCGGCCGAGGCUUGUGGGUGGCGGCGGCGGCGGCGGCCGCAGCCUCCGGCUCGGUCUCCGACUAUUAUUAUUCCUUGUUGUGUUUCUUUGCCUUCUGUUUCCACUAUCGCUUUACUUCCACCUACGCGGUCUUCUCUUUCUUCUAUCACGUUACUUCCCACUACUUGGUUCUCUCUCUUUUCUGUUGCUUUACCUCCAACUACGUGGUGUUCGGUUUCUUUUACGUCUUUGUCGGUCAAGCAGAUGGAACCUGGUAUUCUUUCUACUGGUCCGGGUCUAUUCGUUAUGACUUCUCUUUCGUCGCAGUCUGGGAUUCCUCCUCUUACUCUUCUUUAGUUUACUGCUUAGUCCGGUCCAAUUCCACGAGUUCUUCGGUCUAUUCUAAUAUGGAACGGGAGCCACGUUGUCGUACCUAUGUUUCAAGACAAUAAUGUUGUUGAUGUUACAAUUAGUCGGAUCCGUGAAGACAUUCUUAACGGUUUCCAUAACCUGACGUCCCCCCUCAUACUCCUUGCAUGGACAACCACGACCCUCCGCGUUUUCGUUCUUAAGUCGCGACGUGAUGGCAGUCAACAACUACCGGGGACUAACAGAUGACCCCAGAUCUCAUGUGUAGAGAUUGUGUCACUUGGGUCUUCAGGAACGUAGAGAUGGAAGGUAGGGCUGUGUUAGUCGGUCAUCUUCACUUUGUCAAGAGUUCAAACCCGGACUCCACGGUGAAACACUUAGCUACCAUAGCCACGACUUGUAACUUCUUGUCUUACACUGGUUACGACCUAGGCAUGGUUCUCUACUCUGGUCCCUUCUAUUGAGCACGUGUAGCAGAUGGUGUAGUUUGUUACCUAAUGGACGUUUGCGUCAGGACGGACCAGUCUUGCCUCGUGGACAAAUGACAUUACCCCAACCAGGCCACGGAGUCAUAAUGGAACCUCGAGGAAAGUACAUGGGUACCUCGUACCCCACCUUAUUGGAAGGACAUUACCACGGCCCACCUUCAUACGGGCUCAGACGAAGAGGUAGUCUUUCGACGUCGUGAUCAAGCCGCGGUACCUACUUGAGAGGGUACUACGGUCCGAGUUCCGAAGGACGUGGGGGCAAAGGUAUAGGAGAACAAGGCGGACGGGAGACCCCAACGAAUGGUUUGACCGGUCGGCGCCGUACCUUGUGUGGUACCUAGCCCUGGUUACCCACGUAUAGAGGCAGACCCAGUUCGUUGUCGUCGACAAGUCCGUUACCCAGAGGAUGAGACCCCUUCGUAAGAUCCCUGAGGUUAGGUGUCUUUCUACUGUUCCUCCUCUUUAGUGACACCCAAGGGUUCUGUGAGGCGUAGCUACUAGGGCUGCUCCGUCGUUUCUCAAGGUAUACCCGUUGAGAACCGUAGUUUGGACCUCUGGGACCGCGGAAGUUCGGAAAAGUCAAGUUCCCACUCUCGUUCCCGGUCGGUCGUCUACGUGCGGGACGGGCACGAAAUGUCCGCUUGGGGCGUCGCAAAAGAGCCAGCGUCAGUAAGGUCCUCUCGAGAAUUUGACUACCGACGACGGAUAGAUUAUGUAAAACCGUUGUGUCGAACAGGACAUCAUUUUAAACAUGUAUUAUCAUAUCGAGACGCUAUACCCUUUUCUGGUUUCCUCUCGAAAAACUUAUCGGUGACUGGACGUCACCUCGAACGUUUCUCGAAAGUACUCUUGAAUGAACUCUCCACACAUGACAUUUAUAAACUGUUUGACCAAUAGAUAUUGUUACAUUAAUCCAAUUCAGUCCUCAUGUUAGUGGACCAAACGGUGAGGAUAAUAAAGCCACGCCCAACAUUGUUAAAUUGCAACGAUGACUACUUCUGAUAAAUAUCAUGAUAGUUAUUUGUCAAACUCUACAGCUCGAGUCAAUGAGGAAAGGUCUAUUAAUAAGGUCACAAAGUGCCAUGUACAUUAGGCGG